CGCAGCCGCGGUAAUUCCAGCUCCAAUAGCGUAUAUUAAAGUUGUUGCAGUUAAAAAGCUCGUAGUUGAAUUUCGGGAUCAAUAUGUUGGUCGUGCCUCGGUACGUACUAGCUUAUUGGUUUCUCCUUUCUGAAGAACCAUGAUGUCAUUUAUUUGGUGUCGUGGGGAAUCAGGACUGUUACUUUGAAAAAUUAGAGUGUUUAAAGCAGGCUCACGCUUGAAUACAUUAGCAUGGAAUAAUGAAAUAGGACGUUUGAUUCUAUUUUGUGGUUCUAGGAUCGACGUAAUGAUUAAUAGGGAUAGUUGGGGCAUUAGUAUUCAAUUGUCAGAGGUGAAAUUCUUGGAUUUUUAUUGAAGACUAACUACUGCGAAAGCAUUUUGCCAAGGAUGUUUUCAUUAAUCAAGAACGAAAGUUUAGGGGAUCGAAGACGAUCAGAUACCGUCGUAGUCUUAAACCAUAAAACUAUGCCCGACUAGGAUCGGAUGAUGUUGAUUUUUUAAAUGACUCAUUCGG
This 514-nucleotide ribosomal RNA is filed under the name uncultured Glomus. RNAcentral's name for it is "SSU rRNA". It matches the Rfam family "Eukaryotic small subunit ribosomal RNA", at positions 569 to 1083 of the family's 1831-position model. Lineage: Eukaryota; Fungi; Glomeromycota; Glomeromycetes; Glomerales; Glomeraceae. The record is from RNAcentral.